AAGGGCACAAGGGCUCAAGAGAGCAUUAGGGUGGCCGACCAUAGCCCUUGUCCUAGAGGCAGCCCGAAGCUUCAGAAGUUUUACAGAGCAGAGAGGGGACAGCAGGGCUUUCCCGGUGGUACAGUAUAAAGAAUCUGCUUGCCCAUGCAGUGGACAUAAAAGACGUAGGUUCUAUUCCUGGGAUGGGAAGAUCCCCUGGAGUAAGAAAUGGCAACGCGCUCCAGUAUUCUUGCCUGGAAAAUCCCAUGGACAGAGAAGCCUGGCGGGCUACAGUCCUUGGGGUCCCAAAGAGUCAGUCACGACUGAGGAUUGAGCAUGUACACACAUACUGAGAGGAGACCAGAUCCACAAAAUUCCUCUGGGCUCUAGGGAACAAAAAAUACCGGAGAGGUCCCAAGUUCCCAGCAGAGUGAUGGCAGCCUGGCCCGGGGCAGUGACCUCUGAGACGGAGGGGAGGCUGGCCCUGGACACGACUGGGGAGGUCCAGAGGACAGGAGCGGGUGGUCAUGGUGUGGGGGUAAAGGAGGCCAAGGAGGGAAGUGCCAGAAAAGUUCCAGGCUCUAGCUUCUGCAAGGAGGGCGGCUGGGGCUGUCCCCUAAGACAGGGCAGCCAAGGAAGCAGGUUCACAAGAGGUCAGGUGUUUGUGUUGGGCCAGGGUGGGGACAGACUGCAGGGACAACAGCCUGAGCAAAGGCACAGAGAGGAGAAGGGCAAAGGAAACCACACCAGGACCCGUGGAAUAUGCUGGAAUCUUCCAGAAAGUGGGACUGUGGCUGGUCUUGGCGGCCUUGACUGCAGGCAGAGAGGUCUGAAACCAAGUUAUAGUCAGUGGGGAGCAUAAGAAGGCAUGUUCCAACGAUGGACAUGGGGAGGGCACCCAGCAGUGACCAGCAGGGGCAGGGACUGAGCCUAUGACAGCUGGUGCCUACACCCCAAGGCUGGAGGUGGGGAUGUGAAUGACUGGGGUGUGUCACAAGCACACCUCUGGGACAGCCUGUAGGGUGGGUGAGCAAGAGUAACUGUGCGUCUGUCCCUUGCACAGAGUGUCCUAACCUUCACUUGAGGCAGGCCCUGGGCCACACCUCGGAAUCCUCCAGGACCAGAGAGUGGCCUCCAGGCCAGACAAGCUCAAGGGAGAUGAUGGAUGGAGGAGGCCCUCAGCCACCAGUCACAGCUCUUGGACGGAUACACACACACACACACAAAACCACUGUGGAACCCGGAAGCAGCAUCUGACCCCCUCCCCAAAGGAGCUGGGGCAGAUAGUGGCUGGGGCCGUGGCCUGACCAACUGCAGCUCUGACCUCACCUUGAGAGUCUUGGACCACGUGGCUCUGUGGCUUUCCCAUCAGUCCUGCUACUACCAUUAGCACACAACCCUCCAGGGUGGGUGCACAUCAUAAAGUCAUGGUGAAGCUGAACGAACAAACUUGAAUCCAAACUCGUUGCCUGCCUGGCUGUGAGCACUGGCCUCUUGCGCCUCAGUUUCUUCAUCUGAAAAAUGGGCAUAAUAAUGGCAGAGGCAGAGAAAUGAUGGAGGUAAGGCCCUUAGAGAAAGGGGCUUGUCCCAGGUCACCUGUGGCCCUGAAGCUUCCCCAUCAGUAUGGGCCAUAAGUCUUCAAGGUGGAGAAGGAUUGGGCUUACCACUAUGUCCCACCAUGGGGUUGGGUGGCAGUAUUGCUCCUAUCUGCAUGUGAGAAGGGAAAGGCUCAGAGAAGUUGGUAACUGGCCCUGCAGGACAGGAAGGGUACAAAUUCUCAAGCCUGCUGUCUCCCUGGGAUUUGGGAUUCCAUUCCCACCGCCCUCCUCCAGAUAGAAAAACUCAAGUGCAAAAUGCAUUUCCCCUGCAGGACAUCCUCCUCCCUCUCCCCAAAACCCACACAGUGACCCUGGCCUGGCCUUCUGCGCCCAGGAGGAGCAGGGUCCCUAUCACGCAUCUCGGAGCUGGUUUUCACAUCGAUGGAGCACAAAGGGGGGUAGCCGGGCAGAGAAAGAGCCCGACAGGCCAGGAGCCGGCUCCGCAGGCGCUUUUCUCCCCGCUUUCUUCCUCUCCCGGCUCUUUGUUAAGCUCCCUUUCAGCUGAGCCGGCAGAGCCUGGGUGUUCCGAGCUGACAAUAAUUGCUGCGUCUAGACAGUGUCUGGUAUGAGGCCUCCCUCUCCCGCGCCUCCCCAAGGCUCGCUUUCCCAGCGCUGCCGGCCCUGCCCCAUGCCCUGUGGUUCCCACACCCCUUCCCUUCUUUCUGGCUGCCCAGGGUCCCUGUCCUGCCUCCCUCCUGCUCAGACCCUACACCUCUCUCUCCUUCUCCUCCUUCGGUCUUCAGACACACUCACCCCACUGGGUCCCCAGGCCUGAAAUCCAGGGAACAAAAGUGGAUUUGCAUGGACAGAGGAGCCUCUCAGGCUACAGUCCAUGGGGUCACAAAGAAUUGGACAUGACUGGGGAACUGAGCUUACCCUCCCUGAGACAAGCAUCAUACAGAGUCUGUAUGCAUAUUCAUUUAUUUAAUUUUCUCAACAGCCCUAUGAGAAAGAGUGAAAACAAGCCUGUACUUUGUCCCAUUUUACAGAUGAGGAAACUGAGGUCCAGAGAGGUUAAAUAAUUUGCCCAAAGUAACAAAGCCAAGGAAGUGGAGGAGCCUGGAUUUGAAGCCUCGGAGGAUGGCUCCAGAGCCCCAACAAUGAAUAGCAAGAGGAGUAUUAAAUGCUUACUGAAUACUUGAGGCUGAGAUUAACAUUUUACAUGUGCUGUUUCCUUUAUCCUCACAACAGUGUUAGAUAGGAUCCAGGGUUAUGCCCAUUAUACGCUUUAAAGGAGAAUAGCCCAGGGCUGCUGGGUGUGGCCAGAUGGUGACCUAACUCUGUUAGAAAGGCCCAGUAAUCCCUGAGUUGCAUGUGAAAAGCUUGGCCUGGAGUAGGAGCUCAGUAAGUGUUGCUAUUUCAUUUCCCACUUCUUCCUUCUGGGCUUUCAUGAGCCCCAGCCAGGCUGGAGAAGACAGUGUGGGACUCUGUCCUCAUGAGACCAUGGCCUAGAAGAGGGACCUGGCAAACCAGUCACUUUCAGUGUGGAGGGGAAAUUAUGAUGAUGUGAGUGAUGCAGGACCUCUGGGAGACAAGAGGAGGGACCCUGAAUCCAAGAAGGCUUCCUGGAGGAGGUUAAAUCAACACUGUCUAAGAGAAUGAGUAAGAGUUGGGCAGGUUAAGUGACUUCCCUGGUGGUCCAGUGGCUAAGACUCCAUGCUCCCAGUGCAGGGGGCCCAGGUUCGGUCCUUGGUCAGGGAACUAGACCCCACAUGCUGCAACCAAGAUCCAGAGAAGCCAAAUAAAUAAAUAAAUAGUUGGUCAGGUUAAGGGAGAGGGAAAGGUGCUCCUAGCAGAGGGACCCACACGUAAGAAGGUCUUGAAGUCCAGGGUUACCCCAGAGAAGCCGAGAUCUCUAAGCAGCUUUGUUGGGCUGAACAGAUGCAGGAGCCAAGGACGGAGCCAAGUGAGCCAUGAGGCCGCAGCUGCGAUUAGGAAGGGCCUCAACAGCCAGGCCGCUGGGCACUGGGACAGAACCCAAGGCUGGGAGGCCAGUUAGGAGACGUCAGGAGUCUGGGCAAGCAGCGCUGGGAUAACCAGGAAGAUGUGGAAUGGGGCAGGCUGAGUGAAGGAGACAGAGGCCUAAGGAGUUUUAGAAAGAUGGCCUCCUGUGAUAUAGGGGACUGGCCUGUGAGUUCGCCUUCAAUGCCAUUCCAGACAAGGACACAGCAAAGAUGAAGGCGUGGAGGUAGGGGGAGCCAGGUGUAUGUCUGGGAGGGAGACAGUGGGGCCAGGUACUGAGCAGCCUUCAUAAUCAAAGUUUGGAGGAUUAACUGGGAAGAUUCAUCUAGAACCUUGGUAGGAUGGAUUAAAGGGGCAACCCUGGAGGCAGGGAGGCUGGGGAAGAGGCCAAGAGGAGGCCGCUGCUGAGUGGAUUUUCCUUCCCUGGCAGAUCGGUCCUCUUCUUCAACUGCUCUUCCCUUCUGCGGAGUCAUUUUGAUUCUGCACUGACUCCCUCCCCGCGGGCUGUUCACACCUUCCACCCCCAGCUGGAGAUGGAAGGAGGACACUCACCAUUCAGUCCUCACCCAGGCCAUCAACAGAAAUGUCAGACAGCGCGUCUAGCUCCCGGUCUGCCACCUCUGGGCCUGCCUCUGACCGAUGUAGCUGAGUGGUGGCUUCUCUGGACUUGACUUGGGAGGCGUAGCCUGGACCUCGUCAGGAGCCGUGGGUGCAGAGCACGCACCUCUGGCUUCUAUCCUGAAACACUGGACUGUGGAUCUGAUGCUGGGAGUUCAGACUGGAAAAGGAGAAAAACAGGAAUCAGCAGGUGAUAUAAGGCCAGCGGGGAUAGUCUGGGAGCACUAACGGCGAAGACCACAGAGGCCCCCCAUCCUGGACUCCAAAUCCCUGGGUACAUAGGUUCAGAACUCAGAAUUUUCCCAGUUGUAGGAGGAAAGGAUUACACGUAGACCACGUAUCUCCUAAUACCCCCAGUGAAGUGUGGGGCAGCCCCUGUAAUCAGACGCAUUAACAGGUUUGCAGCAAAGCCUAUGAACAAAGAUAUAAACCCCCUCUGAAGCUCACUUUUCUCAUCUCUAACAUGGAGCAACGGCUGUAGUAGGCUCCCAGGGUUGCCCUGAAACUUUGAUGAUUCCCAUGAUACCGGCCAGCCUGCAGGAGACACAGGUUCUUGGCCUGCCCCGAGCCCUUUGGGGCACAUGCUGCUCCUUCCUGGAACAUCCAUCCCUAGACAUCUCAGGAGAUCCCUCUCUCACUUCCUUCAGGACUCGCCCCAGCAAGACUUGCCCUGUCUAUCCCCGUCUCCUCCCGCCCCUCUGUUCUCCUUUCUCUCCCUUCCCAACCUCUAUCAUUGGACAUAUCACUUAAUCGAUUACUCCCUUGUUAACUGCCUGCCCUCCUGCAGUAGAUUCCAAGCUCCGUGUAGUCAGGACUCUGCUGUCACCCACUUUGCCCCAGCACUUAGGAAAGAGCUGGCACAGAUGGGCACUCUGAUUUCUGUUGAAUGAGUGACAGUCUGUUAAAUGUGCCUUGCGCAUCGAAAAGGCUCAAUGAGGCCCAGCCCUGUGUCAUCACCCUUGUUAUUAUUGAUGCUGCUGUUAUUAUUUAUUUUUUUAGUUGCCCUAUGGCAUGUGGGAUCUUCCUGGACUGGGGAUUGAACCCACAUCCCCUGCAUUGGCGGUGGAUUCUUAACCACUCCACCACCAGGGAAGUCCCACUAUUAUGAAUAUUAUUAUUAGCAUCAUUACUAUGUUCCUGAGCUGAUCCCAGUCCUUGGUUCUCCAGCCUCUGAAAUGAGCAUCCUGGGGACUGAGGCAUCAGCCGCCAGAAGCAGAAACAGGUCCUUGCUGGAGAGACAAAGAAGGCUGCCCGCCCCCCUGGGGGAGCCUGCGCCCCUCACUGGAGAGAGAGGCCUGGGAGAAGCUUGGAGAAGGCACACAGCCCCAUUGAACAGGGCUGCCAGAAGGCCAUACAUAAUUCAUUGCCAAAUGGGGCGGCGGGCGGCUGUGCGCUGGGGGCUCACUCCGCGCCUGGCACUUUGCUGACUGCUCCUCACACGUUGCCUCAUUGCAUCUUCUUGGAUUUGCAGGGUGCGAACCUUCCCCCCGCCUCUCCCUUUUCCCCGGGGCGGGGGGGCCUGAGGUUUAGAGAAUGGGGCCACCGUGCAAGACACACAGCUUCUCAGUGGCCAAGCGGGAUCCAUGGUCCCUGCCUCUCUGUGGAGGAAAGAGACCGAGUGGGACAGAGACCUACCCCAGACGGGGCAGCGGAGGAAGGGCCGGGUCACAGCAGGGCAAAAGGAAGGGGCGGGGAACCCACAGCCCACGCCUCCUCCUCUCCUGGAGGACAAGCUCCCUGCUGUGGCCGCCGAGAGUGCUGGCUCUGGAGUUUCAAGGGCUCAGUUUGCUCAGCUGGAAAGUGGGAGGAACAGAACCCAUCCCCUGGGGCUCCGAGGUCCUGCAGACAGGAUGCUGGCUCAGAAAAUGGCAUCUGCCCAGGAGGAAAGCCAGUCCCCAAAAAGGUUACAUCCUCUACAAUUCCCUUCAGAUAGCAUAUUCAAAGUCACACAAUGAUAGUGCGAUGGAAGACAGAUUAGGGACAUGCUGGAUGGAGGGGCGUGGUUAUGAAAGAGCCCCGGGAGGGAUCCUUGUGCCGAUGGAAACGUCCUGCAUCCUGCCUGUGACGGAGGAUCCACAAACCUGUGAUGAAAUUGUGUAGAACUAGACACACACACAAAAGCCUGUAAGGGAAACUGGGGAAUGGGAGUAAGACUGGGGGGCUGUGUCAGUGUCUAUAUCCCAGCCGUGACCCUGUCCUAUUCUGCUCGAUGCUUCCACUGGGGGAAACUGGGUGAAGGGUGCAGGGAGUAUCUCUGUACUACUUCCUACAGCUUCACGUCCAUCUACAACCAUCUCAAUGGAGACGUCAAUUUUUUAAAAUGUCAUCUGGGGAAUUCCCUGGGAGUCCAGCGGUUAGGACUCUGUACCUUUACUGCUGAGGGCCCGGUGUGGUCCCUGGUCAGGGAACUUAGGAUCCCUCGUGUGGCACAGCCCCCCAAAAAACAAAAAAAUGUCAUCUACCUCUGCCCCAGAAAGGAUUACAUGAACCAUCUCAAUCCGUUCUUUCCUUGGCUCUGAAUUGUCCUUCCUGCCUCACUCUGAGGGUCCCCAGUCUUUGUUCCAGAAUGUUCCUGUUGUCUCUCACUUUUGCCUAGACCGGAAUUCAAUACCACCCCGUGGGAAUCUAGACAGACCCUAGAGGACGACAAGGAAGGCCUUUGUCAUCUGUCUCCUAUCUGCAUCCAGCUGGGAAUCACAGCCACGCUGAGGCUCCCAGUCAGGAUUACGAAAACCAUGAACCCACUGGCCUUGGUCUCCCACUCCAAGAGAGUGUGGGCCAGUGGAGAGAAUGCUGAGUGUCCAGCCCUACGGCUCCCAGACCCAGCCAAUCUUCUGCCGCACCAUGUGACUUUAGACAAUCUCUGUCCUCUUUUCAUUUCCUAGUUUCCUCAUUUGAAGCACAAACAAACUGGACUGGAUUAUCCUUAGGGGUCUUCCAGGCCCGUGAAGAGGCGAGCCUGGCCCCUGUGCUGCUGCCCAGGGGACUCUCCUUGACUUUUGUGUGAUUGGUUGAGAAGAGCAGGGCCCCAGGGCUGCCUCAGGCCCUCCCUUCCUUUCAGCAUCAGUGUGGUGAGAGGUCAUUAAGUCACUCAAUAAACGUGCAUUGAGCACUCACCAACUGCCAAGCACUAGGGAAUAAAAGGUAGGGGGUGGGAGGGCAAUGCUGUCCCUGCCUUUGCAGAACCUGCAGUCUAGGAGGGAAGAAAGCCACAAAGAAAGACAAAAUAGCAGCUGAGAUCAUGCAAAGAAGCAAAGCAGCAGCUGGGUUGGUAUGUUUCAAGGCCACGGUGAGGGCUUCCCUGGGAAGUGACCAUUGAGCCACUGAACUGAGGUCUGAGCAAGGAAUCAACUCUAAGCAAAGAAGCGGGGAGGUGGCCUAGGGUAGAGGCUCCUCCAUGACAGGAGCAGCAAGAGCUGGGGGCCUGUGCAGAGAGAAGGUCUGGAGUAACAGAUCAUGAUCCAGGAAAGAGCAACAGCUUCAGUGGGUUACAAAGGAGAGUCAGGAUGAGGAGAGCCAGGCUGAGGAGCCUCGUCUCCAUCCCAGACAGAAGGGAUCCCGUGAGCUGCGUUAAGCAAGGGAUUUGCGUUUUGGAUUUGGAUUUUGUGUUGGAUUUGGAUUUUGAAAAUCUCCUCCUGGUUACCAAGAGGCGAGGAGACCUCAUGGGUCCUCCUUGUUGCCUUAUAUUUUUACCAUGGUGUUAUUGAGGCAUGUCCAAGCAUUAAAUGAAGCAUAAGAUCCUUAUA
Long non-coding RNA from Cervus elaphus (red deer), 7903 nucleotides. RefSeq lists it as uncharacterized. Lineage: Eukaryota; Metazoa; Chordata; Mammalia; Artiodactyla; Cervidae. The record is from RefSeq and is a predicted model, not a curated record. The transcript is spliced from 2 exons.